RNAcentral lists this long non-coding RNA (1171 nucleotides) under Homo sapiens (human). RNAcentral's name for it is "long non-coding RNA NONHSAT169175.1". The record is from RNAcentral. Lineage: Eukaryota; Metazoa; Chordata; Mammalia; Primates; Hominidae.
CUCAGGCCAAAGCAGGCAAUGGACAGAACUCUUGUGGAGUAGAAGAUGUCCUUCAGCUUCUGCGUAUUCUAUAUAUAGUUGCAAGUGACCCUUAUUCAAGAAUAUCCCAGGAAGAUGGUGAUGAACAGCCUCAGUUUACUUUUCCACCAGAUGAAUUCACUAGCAAAAAAAUUACAACAAAAAUAUUACAGCAGAUUGAGGAACCAUUGGCACUGGCAAGUGGGGCUCUGCCAGACUGGUGUGAACAAUUAACCAGCAAAUGUCCUUUUCUAAUACCAUUUGAAACUAGACAGCUUUAUUUCACAUGUACAGCAUUUGGCGCCUCAAGGUAAGAAGCCUUUUUUUUAUGUUUUUAGAAUAAGUAUGCUUUUAUGUUAUGUAAGUUGAAAAUGUACAACUAUACUGUCAAGACUGAUAGAGGGAAUAUAUUAUCUUGUAUUCUUAUAAAGAAUAGUCAGCAUUGCCUUUUGGCCUGAACUACCAAUCUUCUAGUAAUUCGCCAAAAUGACUAAUCCAAAGGAAAGGAGGAGAGAUACCCGAUAGAUGUUUUCUAGGUCUUUUAGAAAACAUGGAGUUGUUCCUUUGGCCACGUAUAUGCAAAUCUAAAAGAGAGGUGAUACUGUAGACAUUAAGGGAAUGGGUACUGUUCAAAAAGGAAUGCCCCACAAGUGUUACCGUGGCUAAACUGGAAGAGUCUACAGUGUUACCCAGCAGGCUGUUGGCAUUGCUGUUUUUUUGUUUUUGUUUUUGUUUUUGUUUUUUUGAGACAGAGUCUCGCUCUGUCGCCCAGGCAGGAGUGCAGUGGUGUGAUCUCGGCUCACUGCAACCUCCGCCUCCCAGGUUCAAGCGAUUCUCCUGCCUCAGCCCCACUGAGUGGCUGGGAUUACAGGUGCACGCCACCACGCGUGGCUAAUGGCAUUGUUGUAAACAAACAAGGGCAAGAUUCUUACCAAGAGAAUUAAUGUGCAUAUUGAGCACAUUAAGCACUCUAAGAGCCGAGAUAGCUUCCUGAAACACAUGAAGGAAAAUGAUCAGAAAAAGAAGGAAGCCAAAGAGAAAGGUACCUGCAUUUAGCUGAAGUGCCAGCCUGUUCCACCCAGAGAAGCGCGCUGUGUGAAAACCAAGGGAAAGAAGUCUGAGCUGCUGGAACCUCUUCUCUGUGAAUUCAUGC